Molecule: ribosomal RNA, 229 nt
Filed under: uncultured bacterium
Lineage: Bacteria
Description: partial 16S ribosomal RNA
Rfam family: Bacterial small subunit ribosomal RNA
Source: RNAcentral
UGCGUAGGCGGAAGAUUAAGUCAGUGUUGAAAUCCUGCAGCUCAACUGUAGAACUGUCAUUGAUACUGAUUUUCUUGAAUACAGUAGAGGUAGGCGGAAUAUGUAAUGUAGCGGUGAAAUGCUUAGAUAUUACAUAGAACACCGAUUGCGAAGGCAGCUUACUAUACUGUGAUUGACGCUGAGGCACGAAAGCGUGGGGAGCGAACAGGAUUAGAUACCCUGGUAGUCC